CCUACGGGGGGCAGCAGUGGGGAAUAUUGCACAAUGGGCGCAAGCCUGAUGCAGCCAUGCCGCGUGUGUGAAGAAGGCCUUCGGGUUGUAAAGCACUUUCAGAGGGGAGGAAGGCUUGUCGGUUAAUACCCGACAAGAUUGACGUUACCCUCAGAAGAAGCACCGGCUAACUCCGUGCCAGCAGCCGCGGUAAUACGGAGGGUGCAAGCGUUAAUCGGAAUUACUGGGCGUAAAGCGCGCGUAGGCGGUUUGUUAAGCGAGAUGUGAAAGCCCCGGGCUUAACCUGGGAAUUGCAUUUCGAACUGGCAAGCUAGAGUGUAGAAGAGGGGUGUGGAAUUUCCGGUGUAGCGGUGAAAUGCGUAGAGAUCGGAAGGAACACCAGUGGCGAAGGCGACACCCUGGUCUAACACUGACGCUGAGGUGCGAAAGCGUGGGUAGCA
RNAcentral lists this ribosomal RNA (440 nucleotides) under uncultured bacterium. Its description in RNAcentral is "bacterial SSU rRNA". It matches the Rfam family "Bacterial small subunit ribosomal RNA", at positions 338 to 770 of the family's 1533-position model. The record is from RNAcentral.